Molecule: non-coding RNA, 383 nt
Organism: Pelobates cultripes (western spadefoot toad)
Lineage: Eukaryota; Metazoa; Chordata; Amphibia; Anura; Pelobatidae
Source: the annotation of a GenBank genome assembly
AUUUGCAUUUGCCAUGCCUCAACAGCAUGUACACACAAUAUAAUAAUUAACAUCGAUUUGGUAAGGCAUGGCAUGGGAACACAAUGCACAUUUUUUUAUAUAUACUGACAUAAAGACUAGUUUUAAACAUAAGUAAUUAUGAGGUGAGAAACAAAAAUGCAAGAAACGACAUAAUAUGAUAGUUGGUCAACGUUGCCCACAGACUACACAUUUUAGAACUUAUGUAGAGUAGGAUACCUGUUAGUCAAAGCUGUAAGAAAACCAUAGGCAUCCUUAUGCAGGAAUAACGUAGUAGGUUAAACUGAUUAUUCAUUUAUUUUAAAGGGACACUGUAGGCACCCAGACCACUUCUGCCCAUUUGAGUGGUCUGGGUGCCAACUCCC